GGUUGCGAUCAUACCAGCACUAAUGCACCGGAUCCCAUCAGAACUCCGCAGUUAAGCGUGCUUGGGCGAGAGUAGUACUAGGAUUGUAAGGACCGCUUUUCAAAAAUAAUAG
RNAcentral lists this ribosomal RNA (112 nucleotides) under Helianthus annuus (common sunflower). The record is from RNAcentral. Lineage: Eukaryota; Viridiplantae; Streptophyta; Magnoliopsida; Asterales; Asteraceae.